Non-coding RNA from Jaculus jaculus (lesser Egyptian jerboa), 72 nucleotides. Lineage: Eukaryota; Metazoa; Chordata; Mammalia; Rodentia; Dipodidae. The record is from the annotation of a RefSeq genome assembly.
GGGGAUGUAGCUCAGUGAUAGAGCGUGUGCUUAGUGUACACGAGGCCCUGGGUUUGAUCCCCAGCACCUCCA